AUCGAGGUUCGACUAAGCCAUGCGAGUCGAAUGUAGCAAUACAUGGCGAACUGCUCAGUAACACGUGGACAACCUGCCCUUAGGUUGGGUAUAAACCCGGGAAACUGGGUAUAAUACCCGAUAGGUCUCGAUUGCUGGAAUGCAUCGAGAUUUAAAGCUCCGGCGCCUAAGGAUGGGUCUGCGGCCUAUCAGGUAGUAGUGGGUGUAGCGUACCUACUAGCCUACGACGGGUACGGGUUGUGAGAGCAAGAGCCCGGAGAUGGAUUCUGAGACACGAAUCCAGGCCCUACGGGGUGCAGCAGGCGCGAAAACUUUACAAUGCUGGCAACAGCGAUAAGGGAACCUCGAGUGCCAGGUUACAAAUCUGGCUGUCGAGAUGCCUAAAAAGCAUUUCAUAGCAAGGGCCGGGCAAGACCGGUGCCAGCCGCCGCGGUAACACCGGCGGCUCGAGUGGUAACCGUUAUUAUUGGGUCUAAAGGGUCUGUAGCCGGCCGGAUAAGUCUCUUGAGAAAUCUGGCAGCUUAACUGUCAGGCUUUCAGGAGAUACUGUCUGGCUCGAGGCCGGGAGAGGUGAGAGGUACUUCAGGGGUAGGGGUGAAAUCUUGUAAUCCUUGAAGGACCACCAGUGGCGAAGGCGUCUCACCAGAACGGACCUGACGGCAAGGGACGAAAGCUAGGGGCACGAACCGGAUUAGAUACCCGGGUAGUCCUAGCCGUAAACGAUACUCGCUAGGUGUCGGCCACGGUGCGACCGUUGUCGGUGCCGUAGGGAAGCCGUGAAGCGAGCCACCUGGGAAGUACGGCCGCAAGGCUGAAACUUAAAGGAAUUGGCGGGGGAGCACCACAACGGGUGGAGCUUGCGGUUUAAUUGGAUUCAACGCCGGA
RNAcentral lists this ribosomal RNA (885 nucleotides) under uncultured archaeon. RNAcentral describes it as "bacterial SSU rRNA". It matches the Rfam family "Archaeal small subunit ribosomal RNA", at positions 32 to 922 of the family's 1478-position model. The record is from RNAcentral.